This 458-nucleotide ribosomal RNA is filed under the name uncultured bacterium. Its description in RNAcentral is "bacterial SSU rRNA". It matches the Rfam family "Bacterial small subunit ribosomal RNA", at positions 36 to 507 of the family's 1533-position model. The record is from RNAcentral.
CUGGCGGCGUGCCUAACACAUGCAAGUCGAACGGGGUGAUUUCCUUCGGGAGAUCACUUAGUGGCGAACGGGUGAGUAACGCGUGAGAAACCUGCCUUUCAGUGGGGGACAACAGUUGGAAACGACUGCUAAUACCGCAUAAUGUAUAUUUGGGGCAUCCCUUUUAUACCAAAGCUUUAUGUGCUGAAAGAUGGUCUCGCGUCUGAUUAGCUAGAUGGCGGGGUAACGGCCCACCAUGGCGACGAUCAGUAGCCGGUCUGAGAGGAUGAACGGCCACAUUGGGACUGAGAUACGGCCCAGACUCCUACGGGAGGCAGCAGUGGGGAAUAUUGGGCAAUGGGGGAAACCCUGACCCAGCAACGCCGCGUGAAGGAAGAAGGCCUUCGGGUUGUAAACUUCUUUUAGCAGGGACGAAGAACGUGACGGUACCUGCAGAAAAAGCAACGGCUAACUACGUG